Canis lupus familiaris (dog) is the source of this 328-nucleotide long non-coding RNA. RefSeq lists it as uncharacterized. The transcript has 2 exons. Lineage: Eukaryota; Metazoa; Chordata; Mammalia; Carnivora; Canidae. The record is from RefSeq and is a predicted model, not a curated record.
UACCUUCCCAUUUUAAGGUAUCAUUUCUGUUCUCUAGACAUCAAUAUAUAUUGAAGCUAAUUUACCUAAAAGGUUGUUACUAACCAUCAGUAUUGUUAAAAAUGAAACUUGAGAUUUCAGAAGUCUUAAAUUUCAUCCCAAAAAUCUAAGGAUUAAGGAAUAUGCUAAGGGCAAGUUAAGUGGGCUUUACCAAAACCCAGUGAUGUGCACAAUGAAAAGAUUGAGUGUUGUCUUUUAGGCUUUUACUUCGCCUCCAAGAUCAGAAGCAAUAGUAUCUUCUAGUCUGCCAGCCAACAAAAAAGAAUAAAAUUAUAGUGUUAUAAAACAG